Molecule: small nuclear RNA, 135 nt
Filed under: Mustela putorius furo (domestic ferret)
Lineage: Eukaryota; Metazoa; Chordata; Mammalia; Carnivora; Mustelidae
Description: U4 spliceosomal RNA
Rfam family: U4 spliceosomal RNA
About the family: U4 small nuclear RNA (U4 snRNA) is a component of the major U2-dependent spliceosome. The structure of U4 snRNA from yeast and human has been reported. U4 snRNA presents a k-turn RNA motif in the 5p-SL related to recognition of Snu13 protein.
Source: Rfam by way of RNAcentral
AGCUUUGCGCAGUGGCAGUAUCGUAGCCAAUGAGGUUUAUCCGAGGUGCAAUUAUUGCUAAUUAAAAUGUCUGUGAAAAAUUUUAAUUCUAUCAAAAAUACCAUAAAACAUUAAAACUGUAGUAUAAAAUAUUAU